RNAcentral lists this ribosomal RNA (472 nucleotides) under uncultured bacterium. RNAcentral's name for it is "bacterial SSU rRNA". It matches the Rfam family "Bacterial small subunit ribosomal RNA", at positions 355 to 825 of the family's 1533-position model. The record is from RNAcentral.
UGGGGAAUCUUGGACAAUGGGCGCAAGCCUGAUCCAGCCAUGCCGCGUGAGUGACGAAGGUCUUCGGAUUGUAAAGCACUUUAAGUUGGGAGGAAGGGCAUUUACCUAAUACGUAAGUGUUUUGACGUUACCGACAGAAUAAGCACCGGCUAACUCUGUGCCAGCAGCCGCGGUAAUACAGAGGGUGCAAGCGUUAAUCGGAAUUACUGGGCGUAAAGCGCGCGUAGGUGGUUUGUUAAGUUGGAUGUGAAAUCCCCGGGCUCAACCUGGGAACUGCAUUCAAAACUGACAAGCUAGAGUAUGGUAGAGGGUGGUGGAAUUUCCUGUGUAGCGGUGAAAUGUGUAGAUAUAGGAAGGAACACCAGUGGCGAAGGCGACCACCUGGACUGAUACUGACACUGAGGUGCGAAAGCGUGGGGAGCAAACAGGAUUAGAUACCCGAGUAGUCCCUGAGCGGGCUGGCAAGGCGCAU